AUAGUAGAUCGCAAACCAAAAA
This 22-nucleotide small nuclear RNA is filed under the name Arabidopsis thaliana (thale cress). RNAcentral's name for it is "snRNA_09943". The record is from RNAcentral. Lineage: Eukaryota; Viridiplantae; Streptophyta; Magnoliopsida; Brassicales; Brassicaceae.